AAGGAAAUUAAUACAUAUGUUAGUGAUUGUUUGUGUUUUGAAGUUAGCAUUAUUUGUUGUUGUCUGCUGAACUUCAUUGCUGUUGUUGGUUGUGUGCAGUCCUUAACUUCAUUUAGAACAUAUAAAUGUGUCAAUUGCUCUAAAUCAAUCUAAUAAGGUUAACUCUUUCAGUUGAUAAUGGUGUGAAGAGAGAACAAAGUAAGUUAUGUUCUUAUUGUUUUAUGAUUUCUUAAAUUUAUUUUAACUUAAAUUGAUUAUCUUAUUUUAUACUACAGAGUGAGAAGAAACCUUUGGAGAUUAUGCUGCCCAUUCCUUGAAAGUUUGAUGUUGCUGCUUUGAUUAUCAAUGUUGUGGCUGGAAUUUAUGCUGGAAAUGUCCCACUUGUGCAGCCUUUAACAUGGUUGGUGUUGCCGUGUUGGUAUUGGAGAGACGACUUGGUGUUGCUGAUUCGGAAGCUGCAAAUUUAUAUUUUUAUGUUGUAUUUCAUUUAAGACUUGUUACUUUUUGAAUUUUUGAUGCCUUUAAACUAUUUGAAAGUGCAUUUUUAUGCUUUCGAUGUUUUGGAUAUCUAAGAUUUGUUAUAAUUGAUUUGGAGAAAGACUUUUGGUAAUGAAAUGAUUUGUAAUUUUAUUCAA
Molecule: long non-coding RNA, 635 nt
Organism: Salvia miltiorrhiza (redroot sage)
Lineage: Eukaryota; Viridiplantae; Streptophyta; Magnoliopsida; Lamiales; Lamiaceae
Exons: 3
Source: RefSeq, a predicted model, not a curated record